Molecule: ribosomal RNA, 235 nt
Filed under: uncultured bacterium
Lineage: Bacteria
Description: partial 16S ribosomal RNA
Rfam family: Bacterial small subunit ribosomal RNA
Source: RNAcentral
GCGUGCGCAGGCGGUUAUAUAAGACAGAUGUGAAAUCCCCGGGCUCAACCUGGGAAACUGGCAUUUGUUGACUGUAUAGCUAGAGUACGGCAGAGGGGGAUGGAAUUCCGCGUGUAGCAGUGAAAUGCGUAGAUAUAGCGGAGGAACACCGAUGGCGAAGGCAAUCCCCUGGGCCUGUACUGACGCUCAUGCACGAAAGCGUGGGGACGCAAACAGGAUUAGACUACCCUGGUAG